Molecule: non-coding RNA, 74 nt
Organism: Parelaphostrongylus tenuis
Lineage: Eukaryota; Metazoa; Nematoda; Chromadorea; Rhabditida; Metastrongylidae
Source: the annotation of a GenBank genome assembly
GCUUCGGCGGUGUAGUGGUAGUAACACGCAUCCCCGGUAUGGAUUAAUCGCGGGUUCGAUUUCCUCCUGAGGCC